CCCUUAGAUGUUCUGGGCUGCACGCGUGCUACACUGAUAUUGCCAAUAUGUCAUUCUUAUCCGAAAUGGAUUGGGUAAUCAAGUAAUGAAAUUUCAUGCUUGGAAUCGGUAAUUGCAAUUUUAUCGUGAACGAGGAAUUCCUAGUAAGCACUAGUCAUCAGCUAAUGUUGAUUAUGUCCCUGCCCUUUGUACACACCGCCCGUCGCUCCUACCGAUUGAAUGUGUUGGUGAGGAGCUCGGAUUGGCAGCAGUUGGUGGUUCGCCACCGGCUAUUGCUGAGAAGUCCUCCAAACCGCCCCAUUUAGAGGAAGGAGAAGUCGUAACA
RNAcentral lists this ribosomal RNA (325 nucleotides) under uncultured eukaryote. RNAcentral describes it as "partial 18S ribosomal RNA". It matches the Rfam family "Eukaryotic small subunit ribosomal RNA", at positions 1470 to 1796 of the family's 1831-position model. The record is from RNAcentral.